AAAGGAAGAUUAAUACAAGAUGGCAUCAUGAGUCCGCAUGUUCACAUGAUUAAAGGUAUUCCGGUAGACGAUGGGGAUGCGUUCCAUUAGAUAGUAGGCGGGGUAACGGCCCACCUAGUCUUCGAUGGAUAGGGGUUCUGAGAGGAAGGUCCCCCACAUUGGAACUGAGACACGGUCCAAACUCCUACGGGAGGCAGCAGUGAGGAAUAUUGGUCAAUGGGCGAGAGCCUGAACCAGCCAAGUAGCGUGAAGGAUGACUGCCCUAUGGGUUGUAAACUUCUUUUAUAAAGGAAUAAAGUCGGGUAUGGAUACCCGUUAGCAUGUACUUUAUGAAUAAGGAUCGGCUAACUCCGUGCCAGCAGCCGCGGUAAUACGGAGGAUCCGAGCGUUAUCCGGAUUUAUUGGGUUUAAAGGGAGCGUAGAUGGAUGUUUAAGUCAGUUGUGAAAGUUUGCGGCUCAACCGUAAAAUUGCAGUUGAUACUGGAUAUCUUGAGUGCAGUUGAGGCAGGCGGAAUUCGUGGUGUAGCGGUGAAAUGCUUAGAUAUCACGAAGAACUCCGAUUGCGAAGGCAGCCUGCUAAGCUGCAACUGACAUUGAGGCUCGAAAGUGUGGGUAUCAAACAGGAUUAGAUACCCUGGUAGUCCACACGGUAAACGAUGAAUACUCGCUGUUUGCGAUAUACGGCAAGCGGCCAAGCGAAAGCGUUAAGUAUUCCACCUGGGGAGUACGCCGGCAACGGUGAAACUCAAAGGAAUUGACGGGGGCCCGCACAAGCGGAGGAACAUGUGGUUUAAUUCGAUGAUACGCGAGGAACCUUACCCGGGCUUAAAUUGCAGAUGAAUUACGGUGAAAGCCGUAAGCCGCAAGGCAUCUGUGAAGGUGCUGCAUGGUUGUCGUCAGCUCGUGCCGUGAGGUGUCGGCUUAAGUGCCAUAACGAGCGCAACCCUUGUUGUCAGUUACUAACAGGUUCCGCUGAGGACUCUGACAAGACUGCCAUCGUAAGAUGUGAGGAAGGUGGGGAUGACGUCAAAUCAGCACGGCCCUUACGUCCGGGGCUACACACGUGUUACAAUGGGGGGUACAGAGGGCCGCUACCACGCGAGUGGAUGCCAAUCCCCAAAACCUCUCUCAGUUCGGACUGGAGUCUGCAACCCGACUCCACGAAGCUGGAUUCGCUAGUAAUCGCGCAUCAGCCACGGCGCGGUGAAUACGUUCCCGGGCCU
This 1223-nucleotide ribosomal RNA is filed under the name uncultured bacterium. RNAcentral's name for it is "bacterial SSU rRNA". It matches the Rfam family "Bacterial small subunit ribosomal RNA", at positions 154 to 1381 of the family's 1533-position model. The record is from RNAcentral.